This 904-nucleotide ribosomal RNA is filed under the name Stagonosporopsis caricae. RNAcentral's name for it is "partial large subunit ribosomal RNA". It matches the Rfam family "Eukaryotic large subunit ribosomal RNA", at positions 40 to 962 of the family's 3401-position model. The record is from RNAcentral. Lineage: Eukaryota; Fungi; Ascomycota; Dothideomycetes; Pleosporales; Didymellaceae.
AUAUCAAUAAGCGGAGGAAAAGAAACCAACAGGGAUUGCCCUAGUGACGGCGAGUGAAGCGGCAACAGCUCAAAUUUGAAAUCUGGCGUCUUCGGCGUCCGAGUUGUAAUUUGCAGAGGGCGCUUUGGCAUUGGCAGCGGUCCAAGUUCCUUGGAACAGGACGUCACAGAGGGUGAGAAUCCCGUACGUGGUCGCUAGCCUUUACCGUGUAAAGCCCCUUCGACGAGUCGAGUUGUUUGGGAAUGCAGCUCUAAAUGGGAGGUAAAUUUCUUCUAAAGCUAAAUACUGGCCAGAGACCGAUAGCGCACAAGUAGAGUGAUCGAAAGAUGAAAAGCACUUUGGAAAGAGAGUUAAAAAGCACGUGAAAUUGUUGAAAGGGAAGCGCUUGCAGCCAGACUUGCCUGUAGUUGCUCAUCCGGGUUUCUACCCGGUGCACUCUUCUAUAGGCAGGCCAGCAUCAGUUUGGGCGGUUGGAUAAAGGUCUCUGUCAUGUACCUCCUUUCGGGGAGAUCUUAUAGGGGAGACGACAUGCAACCAGCCUGGACUGAGGUCCGCGCAUCUGCUAGGAUGCUGGCGUAAUGGCUGUAAGCGGCCCGUCUUGAAACACGGACCAAGGAGUCUAACAUCUAUGCGAGUGUUUGGGUGUCAAGCCCGAACGCGUAAUGAAAGUGAACGGAGGUGGGAACCUUUCGGGGUGCACCAUCGACCGAUCCUGAUGUCUUCGGAUGGAUUUGAGUAAGAGCAUAGCUGUUGGGACCCGAAAGAUGGUGAACUAUGCUUGAAUAGGGUGAAGCCAGAGGAAACUCUGGUGGAGGCUCGCAGCGGUUCUGACGUGCAAAUCGAUCGUCAAAUUUGGGCAUAGGGGCGAAAGACUAAUCGAACUAUCUAGUAGCUGGUUCCUGCC